RNAcentral lists this ribosomal RNA (503 nucleotides) under uncultured bacterium. RNAcentral describes it as "partial 16S ribosomal RNA". It matches the Rfam family "Bacterial small subunit ribosomal RNA", at positions 28 to 523 of the family's 1533-position model. The record is from RNAcentral.
GAUGAACGCUAGCGGCAGGCCUAACACAUGCAAGUCGAGGGGUAGCAGGAUUAAGCUUGCUUAAUUGCUGACGACCGGCGCACGGGUGCGUAACGCGUAUGCAACCUACCUUAUACUGGGGUAUAGCCCGGAGAAAUUCGGAUUAAUCCCCCAUAGUACUAAUGAAUCGCAUGGUUUAUUAGUUAAAGCAUUGCGGUAUAAGAUGGGCAUGCGUCCUAUUAGCUAGAUGGUGAGGUAACGGCUCACCAUGGCUACGAUAGGUAGGGGGCCUGAGAUGGUGGUCCCCCCCACUGGUACUGAGACACGGACCAGACUCCUACGAGAGGCAGCAGUGAGGAAUAUUGGUCAAUGGGCGCAAGCCUGAACCAGCCAUGCCGCGUGCAGGAAGAAUGCCCUAUGGGUUGUAAACUGCUUUUAUUUGGGAAUAAACCUCUCUACGUGUAGAGAGCUGAAGGUACCAAAUGAAUAAGCACCGGCUAACUCCGUGCCAGCAGCCGCAGUAA